UACGGAGGAUCCAAGCGUUAUCCGGAUUUAUUGGGUUUAAAGGGUGCGUAGGCGGCUUAUUAAGUCAGGGGUGAAAGACGGUGGCUCAACCAUCGCAGUGCCUUUGAUACUGAUGAGCUUGAAUGAACUAGAGGUAGGCGGAAUGUGACAAGUAGCGGUGAAAUGCAUAGAUAUGUCACAGAACACCGAUUGCGAAGGCAGCUUACUACACAAAUAUUGACGCUGAGGCACGAAAGCGUGGGGAUCAAACAGG
Molecule: ribosomal RNA, 253 nt
Filed under: uncultured bacterium
Lineage: Bacteria
Description: partial 16S ribosomal RNA
Rfam family: Bacterial small subunit ribosomal RNA
Source: RNAcentral